This 1495-nucleotide ribosomal RNA is filed under the name Candidatus Jorgensenbacteria bacterium GW2011_GWF2_41_8. RNAcentral's name for it is "bacterial SSU rRNA". It matches the Rfam family "Bacterial small subunit ribosomal RNA". Lineage: Bacteria; Candidatus Joergenseniibacteriota. The record is from RNAcentral.
UUAGAGGAUUUGAUCCUGGUCCAGGAUGAACGCUGGCGGCGUGGAUAAGGCAUGCAAGUCGAGCGGUCGUUUGACGAACGAUAGCGGCGAACGAGUUAGUAACACCUUGGUACCUACCCCAGAGCCGGGCAUAGCCAGCCGAAAGGUUGGGUAAUUCCCGAUGGUCUCGCAAGAGUAAAGACGCAAGUCACUCUGGGAUGGACCUAGGUCUGAUCAGCUUGUUGGUAGGGUAACGGCCUACCAAGGCUAUGACCAGUAGGGGGGGUGAGAGCCCGAUCCCCAACGAGGAAACUGAGACACGGUUCCUACUCCUACGGGAGGCAGCAGUCAAGAACAUUCGACAAUGGGCGAAAGCCUGAUCGAGCGACGCCGCGUGCAGGAUGAAGCAUCUCGGUGUGUAAACUGCUUUUCCACCGGAGAAAGUCGCAAGACUGAUAGUACGGUGGGAAUAAGUGGCUGCAAACUUCGUGCCAGCAGCCGCGGUAAUACGAAGGCCACAAGCGUUAUCCGGAUUUAUUGGGCGUAAAGGGCGCGUAGGGGGCUUGGUAAGUCUGUGGUUAAAUUUCGGGGCUUAACUCCGGAGCUGCCUCGGAAACUACCAGGCUAGAGGACGUUAGAGGUAGAUGGAACGCACGGUGUAGGGGUGAAAUCCGUUGAUAUCGUGCGGAACACCAAAGGCGAAGGCAUUCUACUGGGACGUUCCUGACCCUGAGGCGCGAAAGCGUGGGGAGCAAAAAGGAUUAGAUACCCUUGUAGUCCACGCCCUAAACGAUGCUGACUAGCUGUCUCGAGUAUCGACCCUCGGGGUGGCGUAGCUAACGCGUUAAGUCAGCCGCCUGGGAAGUACGAGCGCAAGCUUAAAACUUAAAGAAAUAGGCGGGAAUUCGCACAAGCGGUGGAUCAUGUGGUUUAAUUCGACACUGAGCGAAGAACCUCACCAAGGCUUGAAAUCCUAGUGUAAGCUCCGGGAAACCGGGGCCCCCGCAAGGCUCUAGGACAGGUGCUGCACGGCUAUACGGUCGUCAGCUCGUCUCGUGAGAGGUUUCCUUAAGUGGAUUAACGAGCGCAACCCCUAUCGUCUGUUAUAUUUGUCAGGCGAGACUGCUUUCGUAAGGAAGAGGAAGGUGGGGAUGACGUCAAGUCAGCGUGGCCCUCUGAUGUCUUGGGCUACACACAUGAUACAAUGGAUGUUACAAUGGGUUGCCAACCCGCGAGGGGGAGCUAAUCCCAUCAAAGGCAUCCUCAGUUCGGAUAGGAGGCUGAAACUUGCCUCCUUGAAGCCGGAAUCGCUAGUAAUCGCAGAUCAGAACGCUGCGGUGAAUACGUUCUCGAAUUUUGCACUCACAAUAAAAGCGCUCGGCAGGGCCCGUCAAGUCAAGGGAGCUGGGAAUACCUGAAGAUCCGUAUUUUUAUAUGGAGACACGGUAGGCUCAGUGACAAGGACUAAGUCGUAACAAGGCAAGGGUAGCGGAAGCUGCUCUUGGAUCACCUCCUU